ACUGGGUGGGAGGGUCCUUCUGCCUGGAUUGCAAGAGGGUGCAGGCCAGGCAGAGGGACCCCACCUGUGCAUG
Non-coding RNA from Myotis lucifugus (little brown bat), 73 nucleotides. NCBI's taxonomy places the organism in Eukaryota, Metazoa, Chordata, Mammalia, Chiroptera, Vespertilionidae. The record is from Rfam.